Molecule: small nuclear RNA, 107 nt
Filed under: Piliocolobus tephrosceles (Ugandan red Colobus)
Lineage: Eukaryota; Metazoa; Chordata; Mammalia; Primates; Cercopithecidae
Source: RNAcentral
GUGCUCACUACAGCAGCACAUAUACUAAAACUGGAACAAUACAGAGAAGAUUAGCAUGGCCCCUGAACAAGGAUGACAUGCAAAUUCAUGAAAUGUUCCAUAUUCUU